Molecule: ribosomal RNA, 522 nt
Filed under: Levilactobacillus brevis
Lineage: Bacteria; Bacillati; Bacillota; Bacilli; Lactobacillales; Lactobacillaceae
Description: bacterial SSU rRNA
Rfam family: Bacterial small subunit ribosomal RNA
Source: RNAcentral
ACAGGUGCUAAUACCGUAUAACAACAAAAUACGCAUGGAUUUUGUUUGAAAGGUGGCUUCGGCUAUCACUUCUGGAUGAUCCCGCGGCGUAUUAGUUAGUUGGUGAGGUAAAGGCCCACCAAGACGAUGAUACGUAGCCGACCUGAGAGGGUAAUCGGCCACAUUGGGACUGAGACACGGCCCAAACUCCUACGGGAGGCAGCAGUAGGGAAUCUUCCACAAUGGACGAAAGUCUGAUGGAGCAAUGCCGCGUGAGUGAAGAAGGGUUUCGGCUCGUAAAACUCUGUUGUUAAAGAAGAACACCUUUGAGAGUAACUGUUCAAGGGUUGACGGUAUUUAACCAGAAAGCCACGGCUAACUACGUGCCAGCAGCCGCGGUAAUACGUAGGUGGCAAGCGUUGUCCGGAUUUAUUGGGCGUAAAGCGAGCGCAGGCGGUUUUUUAAGUCUGAUGUGAAAGCCUUCGGCUUAACCGGAGAAGUGCAUCGGAAACUGGGAGACUUGAGUGCAGAAGAGGACAGUGG